RNAcentral lists this small RNA (1563 nucleotides) under Arabidopsis thaliana (thale cress). Its description in RNAcentral is "ATSL202900". The record is from RNAcentral. Lineage: Eukaryota; Viridiplantae; Streptophyta; Magnoliopsida; Brassicales; Brassicaceae.
CCAUAGGGGCCAAGCGAAUCCAGAAGAGUAUAAACCUAAACACUAACCACCUAACUAACCUAGAGAUUACCCUAAUCUAAUCCAUCCUCAAGAACCCUAAUCCCUACUCAAGCAACAUUCUCAAGAACACAAAUCCAGAAAUUACUAAAAUCAUACCAAAAUAUAGAUCUAAACAAGCUAAACAACUUUACUUAAACAAUCAAAUGCAAAAACGAAAUAGAUUAAGAGUAAUUAAAGUUUCAAGAUUCAGAAACAUAAAGAAAAACUGAAAGAUAAAGUCUAGAUCUUUUGGACAAACCCCAAAAUGAUCUAUUUAUAGUAAAAUGUUGAAACCCUAGAUUCACUAGAAGACAAGAGACUUGAGGCGGUUUGGGCGAAUACUCGACCUUGGGGAUCGUGUAAAGAGGGUGCUGCAAUGUCUACGCCUUUGUGUCUAUGGUCCGAGUGAUCAAUUGGUCGAGUAGAUGCUUCAUCCUCUCCUAUCCGUAUGCUCAGAUGUCUGGUUGAGUGGGGAAUGAGGAGGAUCCGAAGACGCUUUGAUAGCUCAACAAGUCUUGUAGAGAUGGUCACCCUUGGUCGAGUAAAUGGAUCGAGUAGUGGAUCGAGUAGGAGGGGCGAGUAGUUGAAUCUACUGCUUCAUCUGAGGUUGCCUUGAUCGAGUAGGAGGGUCGAGUAAACUGCAGCCUCCUUUGUAGCAUCCUGGAUCGAGUAGUGAGGUCGAGUAGAGUGAUGCCUCCUUUUGCACCUGAAAACACACCAAAACAUGCAAUGCGAAUGCAAGAUGAUCCUAGAUGCCUAAGUAUGCAAAACAAGCUAAAAUGGUGCAAAAUGAUAUGAUACAAUGAGUAAAUGCAAAGCUAAAUGAUGAUAAACAUACACCUAAAAUGAGUAAAAUACAGUGUUAUCAACUCCCCCAAACUUAUCUCUUGCUUGCCCUCAAGCAAACAAAAAAUCUUAAGUUGAAGGAGAGGUUUGAAGGUGGGGAUUCAAAAACCGAAGCAUGCAUAUAAAAUGGGUAAGCUCAAUGUCCAGGUAGCUAAUUCUAGGUUGCAAGAUGAUAGACCCUUACUCAAAAACGUUAGCCAUACUCGUCACAAUGUAACCUAACGACUUGCCUUAAUCUAUUCAAUCAUUCACAUCAACCAAUUCCCUUUAACAUUCAUUAAGCACGAACAGUGGAUCAAGAAAUGUAAUGGUUAUGAACUCACUUGGUUUCGGGCUUAGGCCUAGAGACAAAAAUGGUCCCUCUAAUGGUUUGGUCGAGUAACAGUGGACUCUCAGAGAAAAGAUUGAGCUUCAGUAGAAUGCUAAAGGUAAAAGCCAACUGACACAUACAAGAACAGACUCCCAUCUACCCAAUGAUAUAGUAUGAUAGCUCAGAAGAUGAUCCUAUUCCCAUAGAUGUCCUAACUCUACCCUUUUUCUCAUUCUUUCUCUCUUUUUGGUUCAUGUUCUAAGGGGUUCUCUUGAAAUGAUUUAAGAGUCUAGCGGGUUUGGUUUUAAACUUUGACAAACUUAAGGCUUUUCUUCUAAUCUUCGCACAUGGGGCAAUUUACCCUUUUA